This is an RNA transcript of Asparagus officinalis (garden asparagus), 3212 nucleotides long. RefSeq lists it as uncharacterized. The record is from RefSeq and is a predicted model, not a curated record. The transcript is spliced from 4 exons. NCBI's taxonomy places the organism in Eukaryota, Viridiplantae, Streptophyta, Magnoliopsida, Asparagales, Asparagaceae.
GGUCUCUCUCUCUCUCUCUCUCUCUCUCUCUCUCACAAUCUCAAUCUCGUAAGCAACAUUACAUCGAUUUCGAUUCUGCGAUCUCAAUUUCUCUAGCAAUGGCGUCGUCUGGUGUUUUCCCUUUCGAGAACCCCAUCCUCAACGAGCUUGUGGAGGCCCUCGUCGAUAUCAAAAGCAAAACCCUAGUCGACGGCGGGAAUGUCACGACGUCGGGCCCAGUUCCGCUGCCUCUGCCGGCGGUGGCGUUCCCGAGGAGGAAAAGAUCGAGACAGAUCACUAUGAAGGGCGUCCUCGAGGCCUACGAGAAAGAAAAUGAAGAAGACGAUCCAAUGUGGGUCCCUACUUCGAAGGUCAAGAAGAGGAAGUCGACGACGAUUAGGGUUUCUGAUAAUGGAUCCAGCAAGAAGAUGAAUCCGAUCAAAUAUUCAAUUGAACCACCAAAGUACCUUAUGGAGGCGAUUUCAGCUACAAAGUUUAAACUCGUAAAGCUGCAAUGUUCAGAAGCAGAAAGAGAAAGUGGAAGACAUUCAGCAUGUCGAGGAAAGCAACAGCAACAUGAAGAAAGCAAAGUUAAUGUCAAUCUCACAACUAGAAGCUACGAACUGCUGUUUCAGCCAGCUUGAAGUAGGCCAGACUUCUCCCUUGCACAACAAGCUCCCUUCAAACCAAAGUAAAGAAAGUUGCUUUUUCUGACAUUUGUCUGGCAAGAACUCCUGGAUGAUAUCAGUCAGUGCACUAAACAUGGGGGACUGGUUAUAGGUUCCUUAAAAAAGCCAUGCUUGCGCAGAUUAGGAGUCCUUGAAGAUUCUGGUUGUUUUGUUAAAAGGUAAAGUUAAGGUAAGCAAUUGGAUGGUUAUAUCACAUUCAAUGCCUGUUGAAUUCAUGAAUCUGAUAGAUUUGUAAUAUCCCAGAUUAAGUUUUAAUAGGAUUCAUAGUAAUAGGAACAUUAGAUCAGUUAUUGUUUGGAGCCAGCAAAGGAGGGUUAGGUAGCUGUAUAUAAUUUUUAUAAUUUUAAUUUAAUAUUUACAGGUUUUAAGUAACUUGUAUGCUACAUGAAUUAUUUACUAAACAAGAGUUACGAGAUGGGUCCUGGUUCAUAUAAGGUCCUUAUAAGCACACCUAUAUCCUAUCAGUUUUUAGGCAGGGACCCAGUACAUACUCAUUCAUAAGUGAGUCUGGUCUAGGUCCUGGUUGGAUCUGGAUUGAGUCCAACUGCAAGUCAGGUGUUGAUAUUCAGCCUAGUUGAGUCUAAAGACAAUGAACCAAAUUAUAGUUAUUGCCUAUCUGAAUGCUGAUUAGCAUUCUGCUAAUGUGUUGGACAUAAUAAUUGUCCCUAUAUUUUGGGGAAAUGACAUGCUGGAGUUGUGGUAACCAAUUGGAUUGUGCAGGCUAACCCCCUGAUUGGCAGGAAAUAACAUGUUACAAGAUUUUUUAGUAAUAAUCUCGAAGAACACAUGAUGUCCAUGUUUCAGGUUUUAGAGAGCUUAGUAAAUUUUGCCUGUCAAAAGCUCCUCUAGACAUCAGUCAACACACCUGCACAGGAAGGAUUGUCUAUGGGUUUGUCCAUGGGCGGAUGCCAUAAAGCAUUGUCAGCUGAAGUGAUGGUAUGUGCUGAUUAGAAGUCCUGUUAGAAGGUAAGUUUUUUUUAAUCUUUGUGAAGUAAGAUGCAAACCUGCUGGCUGGAAGUUCUUGAAAUGCUGCUGGGCUUGUUAGAAAAAGAUAAGUUUUUUAAAGAUCUUUUUCAUAUAAGAUGGGAACAUACUAGUUGAACUUUAGUCUCUUUCCUCCAACUAGAACUUCUUUUACCUGAUAACAUGGAUCAUCUUCCAUCAAGUUUUGCUUUACACUUAUGUUACUGUUUUCAUACCUUCUGUUUUUCCCCCGUCUCAAAUAAAGGCUAAAAACUUAUAGAAGAAACACAAUAUGGGAUCAAAGGACUGUUGUCAUAUACCAUUUAGUUUUUUUUUACUUGUAAUUGGUACAUCAUAAACUUCAAAAACCAAUAGUUACAGCAUAGAAUAUGAUUUUUCAUCUUGACCGUCUGUAGAAGGCAGUAAUAUAGAUUGAAUCACUAUAUCCAGCUACAUUUCAUAAUUCAUACAAUAAGGUCCUGCCUCAGCGUCCAAUUAAUUGGGAUGUGGUGAUGAUCUGUUGGACUGUUCAUCCAAUAGCAUGUUUGGAUCUGAAAGGGUUUGAAACCAUCCAAGAUUUGUUUAAGCAAACAUCAGAUUCAGAUUUCAAGUGGGAUGUCAAGGUCUGUUGGUUAUGAAAUUUUGAUUGUGAAUCAUAAGAUGCAACAUUUGUUUGGAGAAUAACAGUUAUGUACUCUGCUUAGCAAUCAGAUUGAAUCUAUUAAGUUUACAAGUAGUUCCUUCAGAACACCGUUAUGCAUUGCCCAAUGUACCAGCAUAUGCUAUUCAAGAAUUACUGAAUCUUGUUUUCCAUCUAAGUACAAGAUCUUAAUUGUGAAUUACUUCUUUUCUAUUAUAGAAUUGUUGAUGCUGAUACUAAACUUUAGUUAUUAUCAUGUUUCGUUCAUUAUUACAUGGUGUGAAGAGUGUGGGAGUAUAGCCAGUGCAAGGGUCAAUGUGGCAAAUAAAAGAAAAUUAAAGUUUCUGUGCAAGGCAGCCCUUGAAAACAGCUAUCUUCCCUAAAAUGUUGGGAGUUUUUUUAAUGGUCAUAGUUGAUUUUUGAGAGUAAUAUUGAUGAGGACAAUAAUGACAAUUUUCCAUAUUUGUUAUUUGACUUUCUUUUAUUUUAGUUUUGAAUAAGAAAGAUUUGACAAGUUUGACCAGAUCUUAAUUUAGUUUUAAUUGUGAGAGAUUUGAGUGAUUUUCUAUUUUGGUAGGAUUUUAAUUUUGAAUUUUGAAUUUUUGGGUCAAAUUUGGUAGUAAAGUCAGUUGUGGCAAUUUGAGUGAUUUGAGAAAUUUCAGAAUCUGUAAUUUUUUCUCUUUAAAGGACUGCUAUAAUCAGAUUUUUGAGGAAAAGAUUUGAAUCGAUGAAAAAUUUUGUUAACUCAUUGGUGUGAAGCCUCGGGUGUGAAACCCUAGACCGACGGGUGUGAAACCCUAGGCCGACUCCCUUGACUCCUAUUCCACAAACAGUCGCCACUCUCCCUAGUUUCUUCUUCGUUUUCCCAAACAAUCGCCCCCGCUCUUCUCCUCCUCUAGCAGCCACCGCAGUCACCUCCUCCCCUGCUCCUUUUCACUCGA